GGCGUGGGGCUACCUGCAGUCGACGCGAAAGGGGCUUCGGCCCUGAGUAGAGUGGCAAACGGGUGAGUAACACGUGGGUGACCUGCCUUCGAGUGGGGGAUAACGUCCCGAAAGGGGCGCUAAUACCGCAUGACAUCCUGCUUUUGGAAAAGCGGAGAUCAAAGCCGGGGAUCGCAAGACCUGGCGCUUGAAGAGGGGCCCGCGCCUGAUUAGCUAGUUGGUGGGGUAAUGGCCUACCAAGGCGACGAUCAGUAUCCGGCCUGAGAGGGCGGACGGACACACUGGGACUGAGACACGGCCCAGACUCCUACGGGAGGCAGCAGUGGGGAAUUGUUCGCAAUGGGCGCAAGCCUGACGACGCAACGCCGCGUGGAGGAUGAAGAUCUUCGGGUCGUAAACUCCUGUCGAGUGGGAAGAAACGCUCUGGGGCUAACAUCCCCGGAGUUUGACGGUACCACUAAAGGAAGCCCCGGCUAACUCCGUGCCAGCAGCCGCGGUAAUACGGGGGGGGCAAGCGUUGUUCGGAAUUACUGGGCGUAAAGGGCUCGUAGGCGGCCAACUAAGUCGGAUGUGAAAUCCCCAGGCUCAACCUGGGAACUGCAUCCGAUACUGGAUGGCUUGAAUUCGGGAGAGGGAUGCAGAAUUCCAGGUGUAGCGGUGAAAUGCGUAGAUAUCUGGAGGAAUACCGGUGGCGAAGACGGCAUCCUGGACCGACAUUGACGCUGAGGAGCGAAAGCUAGGGGAGCAAACGGGAUUAGAUACCCCGGUAGUCCUAGCCCUAAACGAUGAAUGCUUGGUGUAACGGGUAUCGAUCCCUGUUGUGCCGAAGCUAACGCAUAAAGCAU
Molecule: ribosomal RNA, 845 nt
Filed under: uncultured Acidobacteriota bacterium
Lineage: Bacteria; Pseudomonadati; Acidobacteriota
Description: bacterial SSU rRNA
Rfam family: Bacterial small subunit ribosomal RNA
Source: RNAcentral